Small nuclear RNA from Asterias rubens (European starfish), 164 nucleotides. RefSeq annotates it as U1 spliceosomal RNA. The transcript has a single exon. The record is from RefSeq and is a predicted model, not a curated record. NCBI's taxonomy places the organism in Eukaryota, Metazoa, Echinodermata, Asteroidea, Forcipulatida, Asteriidae.
AUACUUACCUGGCUCAGGGUGUACCGUGAUCAGUCAGGCGGUCACCCCUGGCAGAGGCCCGGCCAUUGCACAACCGGUCCAGGCUGACGCCCGCGAUUCCUUCUAAUGUUAGGAACUCGGGAGUACAAUUUCUGGUAGUGGGGACUGCGUUCGCGCUCUCCCCC